RNAcentral lists this transfer RNA (76 nucleotides) under Gammaproteobacteria bacterium. RNAcentral describes it as "tRNA-Thr". It matches the Rfam family "tRNA". Rfam says of the family: Transfer RNA (tRNA) molecules are approximately 80 nucleotides in length. Their secondary structure includes four short double-helical elements and three loops (D, anti-codon, and T loops). Lineage: Bacteria; Pseudomonadati; Pseudomonadota; Gammaproteobacteria. The record is from RNAcentral.
GCCGGUAUAGCUCAGUCGGUAGAGCAACUGAUUCGUAAUCAGUAGGUCGGAGGUUCGAUUCCUCUUGCCGGCACCA